CUUCCGUUUGCAUAAAUUUGUUACUCAUAACGUGUUGAUGAUAGAUUCAAGAUUUAGGAUUUGAUUAAUUUUAGUAAGUUCAAACGUGAGUUCUCUCUCGUUUCUGUAAUUUUAGUAAGUAUUAAGCCUCUAAAACCCCUAAAACCCCUUCUUGAAUUCACUUAUGUUAGAUGAAAUUUAUGAUUUGAUUAAAAGUCAAAGUGAGUCGUUUAGUUUGUCUAGGAACAAGGUCUUGAGCUGUUUGGACAUUGUUUAGUAGCUAAUUUAUGUUUGCUUUAGUGGAUUUAGUGUGUAAUUUGGUGGUUAAGGCUCUGAAUUUGUAGGCCUUUUGUUGUUUGUUCAUUCUUUAUUACUUAUCCACAAAUUAAAUUUGGAAGUUUGGCAUUGGGAUUGUCAACAUGAUUUGAAACUCUUAAUGGCUUAUGAAUGUUGAAUAUUUCCUCAGGUGUUUGUGUAAUGUUUAAAUCCUUAAGUUUUAGGUUGUGGAUGUUCUGUGAACAAAUAUUAGAAUCAAGUUUGAUGUCUAACUUCGGGUUAAUUAGGUAAGAAAGUUUGGUAUUAUUCCUUAGUUUAGUGCGAAAUUUGGGGGAGAAAUUACCAAACAUCUUGCAUUCCUUCAUGUUUAGUUCAAUCUUUAAUGGAGAAAUAUGGGAAGAGGGAUCCUACAACCUUGUUCGAGAAAAAGGAAGGACAGAGAUGAUGUUGAAGAGGAAUCUGCAGAUGUUGGUAUUCCAAUGAUUCUUUCAAAUAUGCACAUGAAAUCUAGAGUCAUUUUUGACCCUUGCCUUUGUUGGAAAGGUAAGGGCCCCGUAUAUUGCAUUUCAUUUUUCUUGAUACUCUCUAAUAUUUAUUAAUUUUUUGAGCUUGACCUUUAAUCUUAGCUAGUAAUUUAUAAGUUUAAAAUCAAUUGCUCUUCUACUCGUAUACAAUAGUGCUUGUUUUUCUAUUAUUGUUUGGUAUUCGAGUUUGUGGGUCAACUUUGAUGAUAACUCCUUCAUUAGUUCUUAUGAACACUACUUGAACUAAUCCAAUCAUACAAAUCUGAGAAUACAUAUAUGAACAAAAGCCUGGCAUAGAAAAAUUUAAGGUUAUAUUUUGUUUAAAAUAGAGAUCACAGAACUUCUAUUCCUGUUCCUAUGUGUGUUGUCAAUAUUCAAAGGAGUUUCUUCUUUUCGAUCUUCUAAAGAGAAAUUUCUAUAAUGGCUAAACUUGAUCAAUAUUCGUUUUCAUAUAACUAUGAAAUGUACUUCUAUUACAAGAAAGAAAAAGAAAUAAGAUAAUCAUCUCGUGAACUAUAUCAGGUCCAUACUUGUAUGGGUCCAUUCUCCUCCUCCGCAAGAAUUUAGCAUGUUUUUCUUGAUUCAAAAUCUAAUAGUUCUGAAGAAACAUACGCAUAACAAUAAUAGAAAACAAGCAUUAUUAUAUACGAGUAGAAGAAUAAUUGAUUUUAAGCCCAUAAAUUACUAGCUAAGAUUAAAGAUUAAACUCAAAAAAUUAAUAAAUAUUAGAAAGUAUCAAGAAAGAUGAAAUGCAACAUACAGAGCUGUUACCUUCCAACCAAGGCAAGUGUCAAAGAUGUCUUCUCAAGUACAAAACUGACUCUAGAUUUUAUAUGCAAAUUUGAAGGAACCAUUGGAAUACCAAGAUAUGGACUCAAAGCAUCUGCAGAUUCCUCUUUAACCUCACUAGUACUAUGUCUCAUCUCUGUCCUUCCUUUUCCUCGACUCGGCAAGUGUCAAAGAUGUCUUUUCAAGUACAAAAAUGACUCUAGAUUUCAUGUCUGGACUUGAAGGAAGAAACCAUUGGAAUACCAAUAUAUACACUCAAAACACAUCUGCAGAUUCCUCUUCAACAUCAUCAGUACUAUGUCCAUCUUCUCUGUCCUUCCUUUUCCUCGAACAAGGAGUCGAGGAAAAGGAAGGACAAAGAUGAUGGAGAUAGUACUGGUGAGGUUGAAGAGGAAUCUGCAGAUGUUUUGAGUUCAUAUCUUGGUAUUCCAAUGAUUCGUUCCUUCAAGUUUGCACAUAAAAUCUAGAGUCAUUUGUGUACUUGAGAAGACAUCUUUGACACUUGUCGAGUCGAGGAAAAAGAAGACAAAGAUGAUGGAGAUAGUACUAGUGAGGUUAAAGAGGAAUCUGCAUAUGCUUUGAGUCCAUAUCUUGGUAUUCCAAUGGUUCCUUCAAAUUUGCAUAUAAAAUCUAGAGUCAGUUUUGUACUUGAGAAGACAUCUUUGACACUUGCCUUGGUUAGAAGGUAACAGCUCUGUAUGUUGCAUUUCAUCUUUCUAAUAUUUAUUAAAUUUUUGAGCUUGACCUUUAAUCUUAACUAGUAGUUUAUAGGUUUAAAAUCAAUUGCUCUUAUACUCGUAUAUAAUAGUGUUUGGUUUUCUAUUAUUGUUGUGUGUAUGUUUCUUCAAAACUAUAAGAAUUUGAAUCAAGAAAAACAUGUUGAAUUCUUGCGGAGGAGGAGAAUGGAUUUAUACAAGUAUAGACCUGAUAUAGUUCAUGAGGUGAGUAUCUUAUUUAUUUAUUUUUUGUAAUAGAAUUACAUUUUAUAGUUAUAUGAAAAGAAAUGUUGAUCAAGUUUAGCAAUUACAAAAAUUUCUCUUUAGAAGAUGAAAAAGAAGAAACUCCUUUAAAUAUUGACAACACACUUAGGAACAUGAAUAUAAUUUUUAUGAUCUCUCUUUUGAACAAAAUAUAAUCUAGAACUUCUAUGAUCUCUCUUUUGAACAAAAUAUAAUCUAGAAUUUCUAUGAUUUCUCUUUUGAACAAAAUAUAAUCUUACAUUUUCUAUGUGUCAGGCUCUUUAUUCUCGAAUUUGUAUAGUUGGAUUAGUUCAAGUAGUGUUCAUAAGAAUUAAUGAAGGAGUUCUCAUCAAAAUUGGCCCACAGACUUGGAUACCAGAAUCUUAACUUUUUCUUGCUUAACAAAAUAUUAGUAGCCAGUUAUGUGAAUAAAACUAAUUCCUUAUGAUGCUUCUGUUUAAAUUUCUAACAUAUGAUUAUAUUGCAGCAUAAUUGUUGCAAAAGCUUAGCACUAAAGCUAAAGGCAAACGUGGAAAACUAUUGUAAGUGGUAAAAAAAUCCUGUGAUCUAAUACCAACCUAUCAAUUGUUUGAAGAUCUGUGAGCUAUAUAUUACAACAAUUAGAUAUAGCACUUCCCCUCCAAAAAAAAUCGAUAUAUAAUUCCAAAGUAAAUAAAUAAACAAAGACAUGCUUUUGAGUAUAAUAGUGAUGUUGUAAAAUUUGGUGGAUUAACAAGGAUAAGAUGUGGUUAGUUCACAGGAUUUCAUAUUUCUUAGCCAAGCUCUCGUAUAUCAUGCGUAGACAAACUCUUAGCACUUGUGAUAUCCAAAAAUUGCAUGCAAGUCAGUGAACUGUUUUAUUGAACUUCUUUUUUCUCUUUCAUAACAAAAGUAGUCAAAAUUUGUAGCAAGCCAGUGAAACUGCAUGCAAUUUACUUUUGUUAUGGGUAAACUACGUGCAAGCCAGUGAAAUACUCAAAAGUAUGCAUUUCUUAUUUAUUUAUUUAUAUUUGGAAUUCUAUAUCCAUUUUUUUGGGAUGGGAAGUGCUAUAUCUAAUUGCUGUAAUAGAUCAUGUAUAUAGAUCUUUAGGUUGGGUCUUUUUUAACAAAAAAAUGUAUUGAAUAGCCUACAUUUGUGACUGCAAUUCAAAAUACUGAGAAAUAUCUAACAUUGUCAUUCAUUAUAAGGGCUUGUUGUUUGGAUUGAUUUUCAAUUUGUUUAUAAACUCUUUCUUUUUAACUUAAAAACACUUAUUCAAACACUUUGAACAUCAAUUGAAACACGGCCAAAGUUUAUGAAUGAUUUUUGUA
Non-coding RNA from Benincasa hispida (wax gourd), 3838 nucleotides. NCBI's taxonomy places the organism in Eukaryota, Viridiplantae, Streptophyta, Magnoliopsida, Cucurbitales, Cucurbitaceae. The record is from RefSeq and is a predicted model, not a curated record.